UACGAAGGGGGCUAGCGUUGUUCGGAAUCACUGGGCGUAAAGCGCACGUAGGCGGCUCCUUAAGUCAGGGGUGAAAUCCCGAGGCUCAACCUCGGAACUGCCUUUGAUACUGGGAAUCUUGAGUCCGGGAGAGGUGAGUGGAAUUGCGAGUGUAGAGGUGAAAUUCGUAGAUAUUCGCAAGAACACCAGUGGCGAAGGCGGCUCACUGGCCCGGUACUGACGCUGAGGUGCGAAAGCGUGGGGAGCAAACAGG
Molecule: ribosomal RNA, 253 nt
Filed under: uncultured bacterium
Lineage: Bacteria
Description: partial 16S ribosomal RNA
Rfam family: Bacterial small subunit ribosomal RNA
Source: RNAcentral